UACGGCCCCAGGGCUCACUCGCCAAUAGAUUAUCUCAACUUGCACCGAUUGUCAUCGGUUCCUUUAUAAUCGGAUAGGAAUUGACCGUGUUUCAAAGGCCAGUGUUAAGUGUUUAUUGCUUUUGCUGUAAUAUGAGUAGAGCGGGAGAGUCACUUAAUAAUCCGCCAAGUGUUUUAUUACCGUUUAAACAACAGCUCCCCACUUGUUAUUCUUAGUAACUAGAGACAGGUAAGAUCGUCUGUCAUGGUCGGUUAAAGUUUAUUACUUUUACAACAGGGUGUAUGCGAGCCGCCACCCACUCCCCACCUUUAACGACAAGACGGCUAAGUGUUUUAUUACUCUGUAAACAUAAACUCCCUUUUUAAAUUUAAUUUUAUUACUUUGUAAUUAAAUUUACAUUAUAUUCGAUUCGCCCUUUUAUAUUUAGUAAAUAUUCAUAUAUCACAUGAUAUGUCAUUCGUUUAAUUUUAUACUACUUACGUAAAAUCUAUUUUUAUAUCAUUCAAUUUCCUUUUAUAUGUUUUUAAAUGAUGUUGUAGAAAGACUGUUUCAAAAGCAAUUUUCUCUCAUAUAGUCAUUAAAUAAGCAAAAUUAUGAAUGUAUUUAUUGUCUGCAGCGUUUUCAAAACAAGGCACGAUUUCGAAAGAGAAUAAUUAUUACAGUUAUCCUUCAUUAAAAAUACAAUUUUUUAUGGUAUUUAUCGCCUUCCAUUAAAUAAUGAGCUAGAAAGAGACAAAAAACUCAGAGAGAAAUCAGUCCAGCUGUAUCGUAAGACCAGUAACAAUUUCCAGUAGACAUUUGUAUCCUCGCAUUUUACAACAUUCGAUUUUUUCUCUAACCGAGGACAAAGUCUGAAUAACAGAUAAAAUUUCUAUAAUAAGCUACGAUGAAGGACAUUGUAUAUUUGCGUGUUCGACUAGCUGCUGUGUAUCGAUAGUUAAUCAUUUAUUGAACAUAUAAGUAAGAAAGAAAACCGAUUGCAUCGAUAUACGAAGUGUCUUUCGACAAUUUGGUUGACUUCACUAAUUCACAAGAUCGAGUGUGGAAAACAGCUGUUUGGAAGAACAUUUGAGUAAUAUUUUUCAAGGUUUCUUAAGAAUUUUUGAAACGGAAAAGCAAAAAAUGUCGUUUUUUCUAUCUGACAUUGCCAGCCUCACGGUACAGCUGGCUGCGUGGAUCUUCUCGUUCUUCGAAUGUUUCUUUCACAAUUUCGUUAUAUUUUUUCUGGAUUUAGCAGGAAAACCAUGUCAACUGAUUCUUUUAUUGCUCUUAUUAAUAAUUAUUUACUAUUCUUUAGUUAACUACGAUAAAACUGUGGAUAUGACAGAGACAGGCUACGAUUAUUUACGUCCUAGAGCAAAAAAACUAGGUCAGAACUUAUCUUUGUUGGUACGAGAAGUUAACGAAUCAAGAGAUCCCGGUGAACUCCCACCUGUAUAUCCGAAUGGAAUUUAAC
Molecule: long non-coding RNA, 1456 nt
Organism: Centruroides sculpturatus (bark scorpion)
Lineage: Eukaryota; Metazoa; Arthropoda; Arachnida; Scorpiones; Buthidae
Exons: 3
Source: RefSeq, a predicted model, not a curated record